CCCUUAGAUGUUCUGGGCUGCACGCGUGCUACACUGAUGCAUUCAGCAAGUAUACUUCCUUUGCCGAGAGGCCUGGGCAAUCUUGUAAACAUGCAUCGUGAUAGGGAUAGAUUUUUGCAAUUAUUAAUCUUUAACGAGGAAUUCCUAGUAAACGCAGAUCAUCAAUCUGCAUUGAUUACGUCCCUGCCCUUUGUACACACCGCCCGUCGCACCUACCGAUUGAAUGGUCCGGUGAAGCCUCGGGAUUAUGAACAAUGCCUUUGUUGGCAUUGUUUGUGAGAACUUGUCUAAACCUUNUNAUUUAGNGGAAGGUGAANUCGUANCA
Molecule: ribosomal RNA, 325 nt
Filed under: uncultured eukaryote
Lineage: Eukaryota
Description: partial 18S ribosomal RNA
Rfam family: Eukaryotic small subunit ribosomal RNA
Source: RNAcentral